This 579-nucleotide ribosomal RNA is filed under the name Lysobacter sp. StRD344. RNAcentral's name for it is "bacterial SSU rRNA". It matches the Rfam family "Bacterial small subunit ribosomal RNA", at positions 102 to 677 of the family's 1533-position model. The record is from RNAcentral. Lineage: Bacteria; Pseudomonadati; Pseudomonadota; Gammaproteobacteria; Lysobacterales; Lysobacteraceae.
ACGGGUGAGGAAUACGUCGGAAUCUGCCUAUUUGUGGGGGAUAACGUAGGGAAACUUACGCUAAUACCGCAUACGACCUACGGGUGAAAGUGGGGGACCGCAAGGCCUCACGCAGAUAGAUGAGCCGACGUCGGAUUAGCUAGUUGGCGGGGUAAAGGCCCACCAAGGCGACGAUCCGUAGCUGGUCUGAGAGGAUGAUCAGCCACACUGGAACUGAGACACGGUCCAGACUCCUACGGGAGGCAGCAGUGGGGAAUAUUGGACAAUGGGCGCAAGCCUGAUCCAGCCAUGCCGCGUGUGUGAAGAAGGCCUUCGGGUUGUAAAGCACUUUUGUCCGGAAAGAAAAGCUUAGGGUUAAUAACCCUGAGUCAUGACGGUACCGGAAGAAUAAGCACCGGCUAACUUCGUGCCAGCAGCCGCGGUAAUACGAAGGGUGCAAGCGUUACUCGGAAUUACUGGGCGUAAAGCGUGCGUAGGUGGUUUGUUAAGUCUGAUGUGAAAGCCCUGGGCUCAACCUGGGAAUGGCAUUGGAAACUGGCUUACUAGAGUGCGGUAGAGGGUAGCGGAAUUCCCGGUGUA